AGGGUGUAAACGCUGCAGACUUGGUGUUGGAGGCCCUUUGGGGGCAUUCAGUGCCGGAGAGAAGUUGUUAAGUCUGCUACUUGGGAGUACGUCCGCAAGGAUGAAACUUAAAGGAAUUGGCGGGGGAGCACCACAACGGGAGGAGCGUGCGGUUUAAUUGGAUUCAACACCGUAAAACUCACCAGGGAAGACUGUUACAUGAAGGCCGAGAUGAAGACUCUGCUAGAUUUUCAGAGAGGUGGUGCAUGGCGUAGACGUCU
Molecule: ribosomal RNA, 260 nt
Filed under: uncultured archaeon
Lineage: Archaea
Description: partial 16S ribosomal RNA
Rfam family: Archaeal small subunit ribosomal RNA
Source: RNAcentral